Molecule: unclassified non-coding RNA, 663 nt
Filed under: Hevea brasiliensis (rubber tree)
Lineage: Eukaryota; Viridiplantae; Streptophyta; Magnoliopsida; Malpighiales; Euphorbiaceae
Source: RNAcentral
UUGAUAUCUCCAAGUGACUAACUUCAAUUUUCUGGAUCAUUUGGGUGUUGUGGUUUGUUGUUUAUGGUACUCUACUUUAAGGGAUCGAUCUGGAUCAUAGUAGGGAUACCUCUAGAGACGAUACGGUGCUACAUAGAGCCUUCCAAUCUUUUUUGUUUUAUGUCUCUACAAAAUCAGCUUGAGCUCCGCCUUACCCCUUUAGAGUCAUGAAGUUGGUCCCUUGGAGUUGUUGAGACAACGACUAUAGUUGAGGUCUAGCUUUUAUUGGUUAUUUGGUACAUACACUUGCCGGCGAGGCUUCCUUUACCUUUGUUUUCAAUGUUAGUUUUAAUGGUGUUUGGUUUGCACUGUGCUGUGCCUAGCAUUUGAGGGUCCUGUGGGUUUGAUUUCGACAAGGAUGCUGUUAGGAUGUUCGAAUCUAUUGCUUUGGAUCAGAGCUCCGCCUAGCCUAGCGUUUCUGAUGGGUUUAGGUGUUGGACAUGUUUCUAGUGGAUUAUGGGGGCUAGCUUAGUUUGGGACAUCUCUGUGUAUGGGUUUGGGCCGAGUCUAGUUAUUGUUCUCCAUCUGAUUGCGCUUUUGUUCAAUUUUGCAUGGGUUUAAUGUCAGUUAGAAUUGGUACCAUCCGACCAAGCGCAUGAUCCUUUAGCAAGACAUCAGUUUCUA